GUGUGGAAGCCCUUGAGAUCAAGACAGGUGUUUGUUUGAGUAGCAGAACUGGAGGUGGUGGCAGCGUUGGCGGUGGCCGUCAGCUUGGGUGCAAGUGGGCGGAGGCGCUUGAAGCUGAUUGUCAAGGAGGAAGUGAUGGUGGUGGAGGAGGAGGAGGAGGAGGACGAAGAGGAGGAAGGGGAGGAGGGGUCUUGCAGUUGCUGCUCCCAGAUGCCUCCUACUGCGAGCUGUUGAUCCUUCAUGGCUUUCCGUGGACUGUGAAAACAAUGAAUGAGAGAAUUGUGAUGGCAGCGUGCUGGAUAUUUAUUCUAAGUUUAUAUGUCCACACAUAUUCUGUCUGAAAUGAGGCGAGAGCUGGGGCGAGUACGGUGUCA
This 374-nucleotide long non-coding RNA is filed under the name Phoenix dactylifera (date palm). RNAcentral describes it as "long non-coding RNA (PDAC_LNC009394)". The record is from RNAcentral. Lineage: Eukaryota; Viridiplantae; Streptophyta; Magnoliopsida; Arecales; Arecaceae.